RNAcentral lists this ribosomal RNA (253 nucleotides) under uncultured bacterium. Its description in RNAcentral is "partial 16S ribosomal RNA". It matches the Rfam family "Bacterial small subunit ribosomal RNA", at positions 524 to 776 of the family's 1533-position model. The record is from RNAcentral.
UGCAGAGGUCCCGAGCGUUGUUCGGAUUCACUGGGCGUAAAGGGUGCGUAGGUGGUGAGGUAAGUCGGAUGUGAAAUCUCCGGGCUCAACCCGGAAAUGGCAUUGGAAACUACCUUGCUGGAGGAUUUGAGGGGGGAUUGGAAUACUUGGUGUAGCAGUGAAAUGCGUAGAUAUCAAGUGGAACACCAGUGGCGAAGGCGAAUCCCUGGAAAAUACCUGACACUGAGGCACGAAAGCUAGGGGAGCAAACAGG